GACGAACGUUGGCGGCGUGCUUAACACAUGCAAGUCGAACGGAAAGGCCCUGCUUUUGUGGGGUGCUCGAGUGGCGAACGGGUGAGUAACACGUGAGUAACCUGCCCUUGACUUUGGGAUAACUUCAGGAAACUGGGGCUAAUACCGGAUAGGAGCUCCUGCUGCAUGGUGGGGGUUGGAAAGUUUCGGCGGUUGGGGAUGGACUCGCGGCUUAUCAGCUUGUUGGUGGGGUAGUGGCUUACCAAGGCUUUGACGGGUAGCCGGCCUGAGAGGGUGACCGGCCACAUUGGGACUGAGAUACGGCCCAGACUCCUACGGGAGGCAGCAGUGGGGAAUAUUGCACAAUGGGCGGAAGCCUGAUGCAGCAACGCCGCGUGCGGGAUGACGGCCUUCGGGUUGUAAACCGCUUUCACCUGUGACGAAGCGUGAGUGACGGUAAUGGGUAAAGAAGCACCGGCUAACUACGUGCCAGCAGCCGCGGUGAUACGUAGGGUGCGAGCGUUGUCCGGAUUUAUUGGGCGUAAAGGGCUCGUAGGUGGUUGAUCGCGUCGGAAGUGUAAUCUUGGGGCUUAACCCUGAGCGUGCUUUCGAUACGGGUUGACUUGAGGAAGGUAGGGGAGAAUGGAAUUCCUGGUGGAGCGGUGGAAUGCGCAGAUAUCAGGAGGAACACCAGUGGCGAAGGCGGUUCUCUGGGCCUUUCCUGACGCUGAGGAGCGAAAGCGUGGGGAGCGAACAGGCUUAGAUACCCUGGUAGUCCACGCUGUAAACGGUGGGUACUAGGUGUGGGGUCCAUUCCACGGGUUCCGUGCCGUAGCUAACGCUUUAAGUACCCCGCCUGGGGAGUACGGCCGCAAGGCUAAAACUCAAAGGAAUUGACGGGGCCCCGCACAAGCGGCGGAGCAUGCGGAUUAAUUCGAUGCAACGCGUAGAACCUUACCUGGGUUUGACAUGGAUCGGGAGUGCUCAGAGAUGGGUGUGCCUCUUUUGGGGUCGGUUCACAGGUGGUGCAUGCCUGUCGUCAGCUCGUGUCGUGAGAUGUUGGGUUAAGUCCCGCAACGAGCGCAACCCUUGUUCACUGUUGCCAGCACGUUAUGGUGGGGACUCAGUGGAGACCGCCGGGGUCAACUCGGAGGAAGGUGGGGAUGACGUCAAGUCAUCAUGCCCCUUAUGUCCAGGGCUUCACGCAUGCUACAAUGGCUGGUACAGAGAGUGGCGAGCCUGUGAGGGUGAGCGAAUCUCGGAAAGCCGGUCUCAGUUCGGAUUGGGGUCUGCAACUCGACCUCAUGAAGUCGGAGUCGCUAGUAAUCGCAGAUCAGCAACGCUGCGGUGAAUACGUUCCCGGGGCU
RNAcentral lists this ribosomal RNA (1346 nucleotides) under uncultured bacterium. RNAcentral's name for it is "partial 16S ribosomal RNA". It matches the Rfam family "Bacterial small subunit ribosomal RNA", at positions 28 to 1381 of the family's 1533-position model. The record is from RNAcentral.